UUAUCAGACCAUUUAGGCUUAAACCUUGUGAUAUGCAAAAAUGCUGAUUUCUGAAAUUAAUUUCAGUGAAAGCUGUACUAAUAGUUUGGAAGUAUUACUGUCUGUGUUUGUUUUUCUAGGAGCUGGCUGGCUUAGAAUGUGCUCUUGAGGGAGCAGGAAGGAACAUUUCAAACUCCCCAAACAUCUAGGCUUGUGUCCAAGUGUCAGGAUGACUUUCUCCAGCCUGAAGCAGCUUGUCCCUUUCCACUUCUAUUUAUUCUGUGGUGUAGCAGAAUUUUCUGGAUGUCUACAGACCAGUGCCUCCAGGGAGACUGGGGACUGCUGUGAUCCCUGCCUAUGUGCUUCCUAUACAUGGAUGCAUAUGUGAUUUGAAGUAUACAAACCUGCUUCUAUCUCUUCCCUAAAACAAACUAUUAAACCUGCAUAUUUGGCCAUCUAGGUUUAACAGAGUUUGAGUGCUCAACUGCCACUUCAACAUCUCUCAGCAAUUCGGCUCCCGCAAUAGCCCUCCCAAAACGCUAGCUAUGAAUUAAAAUGAAUUAGAGCCUGCAGAGUGACUGCAGUGACUGUGAGGAGGAAGUCCUUGCUGCUGUUUCUUCGUUUAGACAAUUGAGGAGAAGUUUAAUGUCAGCAGUAUGGGGCAUCAGGUGAUAAUAUUUGACUUUUCGCUCAUAAGAGGACUCUGGGAGGCUCGAGUCAAGAAGAACAAAGAACGUCAGAGGAAAGAGAAAGAGAGAUUAGAAAAAAGUUCAUUAGAG
Long non-coding RNA from Lagopus leucura (white-tailed ptarmigan), 758 nucleotides. RefSeq lists it as uncharacterized. The record is from RefSeq and is a predicted model, not a curated record. The transcript is spliced from 3 exons. Lineage: Eukaryota; Metazoa; Chordata; Aves; Galliformes; Phasianidae.